Molecule: ribosomal RNA, 492 nt
Filed under: uncultured bacterium
Lineage: Bacteria
Description: partial 16S ribosomal RNA
Rfam family: Bacterial small subunit ribosomal RNA
Source: RNAcentral
GGGGGGGGGGGGGGGGGGGCGGGGCGCGGGCGGGGCGGGGGGCGGCGCAGUAGGAGGUGGGUGGGACGGGGGGCGAGUGGCGGACGGGUGGGGACGCCCUCGGAGUCUACGUUUUCGUGGGGUAGAACUUAUGGAGACUUACGCACAUACCGCAUCCGGCCUCCGCGUGAAAGCGUGGACUCUGCUUCCAUGUCUCGAUUUCAUGAGCCUAUGUCGGGUUAGCUAGUUGGCGGGGUAACGACCCACACAGGCGACGAUCCGUAGCUGGUCUGAGAGGAUGAUCAGCCACCAUGGAAAUGAGAAACGGUCCAGACUCCUAAGGGAGGCAGCAGUGGGGAAUAUUGGACAAUGGGCGCAAGCCUGAUCCAGCCAUACCGCGUGGGUGAAGAAGGCCUUCGGGUUGUAAAGCCCUUUUGUUGGGAAAGAAAAGCAGCAGGUUAAUACCCCGCUGUUCUGACGGUACCAAAAGAAUAAGCACCGGCUAACUUCGUG